AGGGUGAGGUGGCCAUG
This 17-nucleotide unclassified non-coding RNA is filed under the name Mus musculus (house mouse). RNAcentral's name for it is "oocyte_clustered_small_RNA9577". Lineage: Eukaryota; Metazoa; Chordata; Mammalia; Rodentia; Muridae. The record is from RNAcentral.